Molecule: ribosomal RNA, 253 nt
Filed under: uncultured bacterium
Lineage: Bacteria
Description: partial 16S ribosomal RNA
Rfam family: Bacterial small subunit ribosomal RNA
Source: RNAcentral
UACAGAGGUCUCAAGCGUUGUUCGGAUUCAUUGGGCGUAAAGGGUGUGUAGGUGGCGCCGUAAGUCAGGUGUGAAAUCUCGGGGCUUAACUCCGAAACUGCAUUUGAUACUGCGGUGCUUGAGGACUGGAGAGGAGACUGGAAUUUAUGGUGUAGCAGUGAAAUGCGUAGAUAUCAUAAGGAAGACCAGUGGCGAAGGCGGGUCUCUGGACAGGUCCUGACACUGAGACACGAAGGCCAGGGGAGCAAACGGG